RNAcentral lists this unclassified non-coding RNA (228 nucleotides) under Mortierella sp. Its description in RNAcentral is "partial contains small subunit ribosomal RNA, internal transcribed spacer 1, and 5.8S ribosomal RNA". The stretch from base 1 to 46 matches the Rfam family "Eukaryotic small subunit ribosomal RNA", at positions 1786 to 1831 of the family's 1831-position model. Lineage: Eukaryota; Fungi; Mortierellomycota; Mortierellomycetes; Mortierellales; Mortierellaceae. The record is from RNAcentral.
AAGUCGUAACAAGGUUUCCGUAGGUGAACCUGCGGAAGGAUCAUUCAUAAUAAGUGUUUUAUGGCACUUUUUUAAAUCCAUAUCCACCUUGUGUGCAAUGUCAGGGUUGAUUUUUCUCUCGAGGAGGAUCAACCCCAAACAUCAACUAUAUCUCAACUCUUUGUCUGAAAAAUAUUAUGAAUAAAACAAUUCAAAAUACAACUUUCAACAACGGAUCUCUUGGCUCUC